UUUUACACAUGAUUUGGGUUGGAC
Molecule: microRNA, 24 nt
Filed under: Brachypodium distachyon (stiff brome)
Lineage: Eukaryota; Viridiplantae; Streptophyta; Magnoliopsida; Poales; Poaceae
Description: bdi-miR7720-3p
Source: miRBase by way of RNAcentral